UACAGUAAUUGCUCAAUAAAGAUGAUUGGUGU
RNAcentral lists this non-coding RNA (32 nucleotides) under Rattus norvegicus (Norway rat). The record is from RNAcentral. Lineage: Eukaryota; Metazoa; Chordata; Mammalia; Rodentia; Muridae.